GCGGCUUGCGGUGUUUGCGCGCCCCGCUUCUGGUGCGCACAGGGAUGGGGUUCCCCCCGUGCACGCACUGAGCACAGCGACUAAAAACUGCUGUCCCCAACCAGGUUGGCCAAAAGCGAGGCGGGGAAUUGCAAGUGACCUGCUGAGCCGGGAACGUUGGGCAGCUGGCAUGCAGUGCCGUGGGGUCGUACAAUCACAGAAUCGCAGAAGGGCUUGGGCUGAAAGGGACCUUAAAGACCAUCCAGUUCCUGCCCCGUGCCGUGGGCAGCGCUGCCACCCACCAGACCAGGCUGCCCAUCCAACCUGGCCUUAGAUGCCUCCGGGGACGUGGCACCCACAGUGGCUGUGCCAGCGCCUCACUGCCCUCUGUCACCUAACCUAAACCUCCCCUCUGUUAGUUUAAAGCCAUUCUCCUUUGUCCUUGGGCAGAGCAGAGGGGAACAAUCCCUUCCCUCUUCUUGCUGGGCACCCGGGAUGCAGUUGGCCUCCUGGGCUGUAAGCACACACUGCCGGCUCAUGCUUUUCAUCCAUCAGGGUCCCCACGUCCUUCUCAGCAGGAUUGCUCUCGACGAGAUCUUCUCCCAGUCUGUACAUAUACAUGGAAUUCCCCUGACCCAAGUGCAAUACCCUGCAGUUGGCCUUACUGAACCUCAUGACGCUCUCAUGGGCCCGCUUUUCAAGCCAUCCAGGUCCCUCUGGAUGGCAUCUCUUCCUUCAGCUACAUCAACUGCACCACUCAACUUAGUGCCGUAAGCAAACCUGCUGAGGGUGCACUUUAUCUCACUUGUGUAGGCCAUCGAUAAAGAUGACACAAGUGUAAACAAAGUCAAAUAAGCCAUCUGACAAAUAGAUGAAGGAAAAGUCCCUGGAGACCUGCUUUGGCUCGUUCCCCCCACAGCCAGUUUCUGAGGUUCCAGGCUGGGAAGCCGCUGUUGCACAGAGAUUCCCUCCCAUGGUUCUGAGGGAAGGACCCCCCACAGGCACCCAAUGCUGUCCUGCAGCCAUGCUGUGUGCACACAGGGCUCAGCACGCUUCCUGCCCACAGCGCUGCUGGGCUGCCAAGUGAGCCGGUGCUGGGCAGCCACAGCUCAUACCUCAGGGGUCAGGUGCUAUUUUUGCUGGCCGUGCCCCUGGAGGUGCAGAAGUGUCUUUCUGCAGGCUGUGCUGGGCUCCCCCGCUCUGGGUACCUUUGCAGCAUUGUGACUUCUAAGGAAGAGCAGGUGACUGUCAGUGGUGCCAGGCAAAUAUUGUCAGCCCUUAAUCCUGCAGGCUUUGCACCUGUGAGUGACCAAAGCCCAUUGUGCUAGGAUGUGCUCAUGCAUUGGACAGCAUUGCCAGCAGGUAACUGGGCUGGCCCUCGGCUGGGUGCCCGUGGGUAGGGCUCUGUGCCCCAGCAGCUCAGGGCUCUGUCAGGCAUGAGGUAUGAGGGCAGCGCACGGCCUCGAGGAAGGGCCACAUGGAUGUGGCACUGUGGUGCUAACAAGGUGCUGCAGUGGGAAAAACAGAGGUGUUCUUCCAGCGGGCGCCGGGUAAAGAAAUUGGCUGAGCUCAAUUGGCCCAACUUACAGUUUCCAGUGGAAAAGCCAAUGUGUUUGCAGAUCACAGGACAGCACAGUCAUGUACCGCUGCUCGCCACAACCACCCCCAGCCCCACGCUGCAGCUGGGCUGGACUGGGGAUCACCACAGUGGGUGGUGAUGUGGGGCUGGGAGAGAAGAGCCGGAGCGGGGCGGUGCAGCUCACAGCAGCCGGUCAGGAUUCAUAGCUGCUCUUCUGCUCACAGGCCCAGCACAGCAGUGCAGUAACACAGCAGUGCAGUAAGACAGCAGCAUGGUUUGCCAGGCACCCAUGCCAGCUUCCAGCGGGAGCAGCCCUGGCUGCUGAGUUGUUCAGCAGACGUCAACCUGUGGAAUGUUUCCGUGAUAUUUUUCUCCCCUGAAAGAAUGUGCUAGGACUAAAUGCUUUCACCUUUUUCUUUUCCUUUUUUUUUUUUUCUUUUUUAAAGAAAAGGUCAAGCACCCUCCAGGGCCUUCAGGCCUCACCACUGACCUGCCGCGUGGUGCUGCGUCCCAUGCAUGAGGCUUCCAUCAGACCCAGUGCUGGGAGGGCAGUCCCAGGCAGCUCCCCUGUUGGCACCUUUGUAACAAAGGCCCUCAGAAAGGAUGGGCUUCCUCUCACCCAGGUUUAGGUGCCUAAAAGUUAGAUGUUUAAGCCUAUUUAGAUGGCCAGGCUUCUUGCAUAGUCAAUGGAGACAAGUAGGCACCUCUAGUGUGUGAUUCACCUUGGCUAUCUGCAGCAUUUAUCUGAGGGUCUGACUCACUCAGGAUUGAGUGAGGAGCUGAGUGCCCGCUUCUCUCUGCAACUCUCCGGCAGGUGGGUGACUCGCUUAGGGCCCGACAGCUGAUUUCUGGCCGCCCCAAACUCAGCCCCCACCCCACAGCCUGGCUCUGGGACUCUCACCCCAUUUCCUUUAGGGGCCCCACGUCCAGCCCUGCCGAGCAAGGCUUGGUCGCAGCCUGCCCAAAUUGUACUAUCAGCCCCUAUCGCCUCAUCAGACCGAGUUAAAUAUUUAUAAAGCUGCCGGGGCAGGGUCCGUGCCUUGCUACGUGUCUGUGUGUUCCCUGGCGUAGCGAAGCCCGGCAUCCCAACCCCUGUACCAUGUGGGACGGAGACUGCGCAAAGCUGCAGGUCCUGACGAAACGCAGCUGGGAGUGCACAGAGUGCUCGUGGACGUUGGGAAAUAGGCAGGAAUGAAUCAUAAGAGUCGGGAGAAGCUGCUAAUGUGUGGGAAAAAGGCAAAUGUGCUACCUCUGCACAAACAUAUAAUAAGGAAGUAUGUAAUAAUAAUUAUUGUUAUUGUAAUACGGUCUGGGUGAGCAUUUGGGAAAAAGAUAUCUAAUAACUGACAAGCACCACGGCUCGGUUUGUUUUGAUCUGAAAUUCAAACAAUGGCCGUGUUUAUAAGGUAAUAAUACACAGGGCACAGAGCGCUGGCACCGCACCAACUAUGCACUCCGCAAGUCGGGUUUAUAUAGGUCAUGCCAAACAAAUAAUAGUGUUCUUCAAUAUAAUUACUGAUUCAUUAAGAGAAUGAGAGAGAACGUAAUUGAGUCUGUUUGGAUUUCAGGGAGGUGUUAGAUAUGGUAAAUUUAUACAUUUGACCUUGGAUUUUGGAGACGUUACACGCUCGCCCAGCUCUGCUCCUCUGGAAGGCAGCGGUGACAUUCCUGUUGCGGUCCCUGCAGCCGGUGCAGGACUGCUCUCACUCAGCCCCAGCAGCCCCUGGACCUACUUGAGGCUUUUCCCCAAGGAAACACAACGUGUGAUGGCUCAGCUGUGGGUCCAGCAUCCCUCAUCCCUAUUGCCAGCCUUGAUGCUGCCUCCUUGCUCGUGAUCCCACCAGGGAGCAGCUGCACUCUUAGAAGAAGGCUGAGCUGGGCAUAACGUGGGGCUUCUAGGAAAACAGGGGCCAUGCCAGCCCCGUCCACAGAUGGGGGAAGUGAGCGGCUGUGAGCUGGGACGGCUGGAAGCAGUGGGGUCUGGAGCUGGAUUGAGGGCAUGUCCCAAAAACUGCACUGUCCCGGGGCUGACCUCUGCUCUGGAGGGAGCAAAACAGUAAAGGGAGAAACAAAACUGCUGAGUACAAGCAGCAUCCAAAGCAAGUGGGAAGGAUACGGUGAUAAUAAGCGAAGGCAGUUUUUUGUGAAGCUAAAUCAUGCCCCUCUGGUCAGUUGACUUCUUUGAGCUCCUAAAAAAGGCAGAUCAGGAAGAAGUAGGGAGCAGAGUAAAUACAGCCUUUCAAAAGCGUUUUUGAUAAAGACUUUUCCAAGAGUGAAAUAAACUUGGCAACCGUGGGAUGAAAAGUCCCGUCAUGGAUUAAAAAGUGGGUCAGAGCUGAUAGCAAGGAGAAAAUCCAUUAGAAGGAUAUGGCCAGCAGGGUAAGGAAAGCCUGCUGGGGGGGGGGGAAGAGGGCAUGUGGAGGGGCGGGGGCAGCCCUCGGAAUGGGGUGUCAAAAACAGAGACGGGGAAGAGGGAUAACAAGGCAACAACAUUAGCUGCCGGCGGAGCAUUAUUUAUUGUGACUUCAAGCAUGGCUGGGCAGGGCUGGGAGGUGCUCCAGAAGCUUCUAACUAAACUAGGAAACCAAACCACAGUGACGGAGAAAGUUCAGCUUACACAAGUGCCAGUGCAAACCGUUUCAGAAUAAACUGGGCAAGCCUCUUGCUCUGAAUUAGAAGUUAGCUUGUAGGGGUCAGAUGUGGCACGGGCACUGAUUGCUCAAGCCUUGCUCAACAAAGGUCGGGACCCUGGAUCAGCAGGAUGAAUCUGUCACCGUGUAGCCCGGCUGCGUGUUGCAGUCCCCGUGUGCCUGCACUGAAGGGCCGUAGCAGCAGGGCCUAAGGCAGCUUCCUGAGAACAGCCCCGCUGGGUCCAAUCGGAAGCCCACCGAAGGCAGUGUGGGCAAACAGAAACAGGGUGGGAUCUGCCAAUAAGCUCCUGCCUGGCCCAAGGCUGGCCCAGCUGCCGGCCCGCCUGUGGUGACGUGCCUGCCGUGGCUACAGUGCUGGGAGCCAGUUUUGGUGGGGCUGGUUGCAGCUGCCCCGUGGGCAGCCUCCAGCCCCCGGCACCGGCAGGCGAGGCCCAGGCUGCAGCCCUGAAGCUUGCCCUGUGCGGGUGUCUGGCCAUCAUGGAGCGGGAACGGCUCUGCCGGGACAAGCGCAGAUCCUGGCGGGGUGUGGUAACACCGAGCCCCGUGCAACAAGAAACGGAAGGGGAGUGCAUUUGUAAAUAAUUUACUAGAAUGACCUACAUGCUACCAAGCCUUUGUUCCCUCUUAUGCAGUCAGUAGAGAACCACACAGCCUCAGAGAAUGAAGUCUGAGGACCGAACGCUGAGAGGUGACACAGAGCAGAGGCAUCUGAGCCUUUCCUGUGGGAAGGCAGCCUGAGGUGCCUUCAGAGUUUCUAAGCUUUUCCAAGCUUUGUGGAGAAGCGGGAGAGGGAGAGAUGUCCCACAGCCCUGCGGAGGGAGCAGGGAGGGGACAGCUUGCUGAUGGUGCUUGUCACGUGUUUGGAGCUGCCAGCGCUGCACUGGGGCGGCAGCGUGUGCAUGGAGAGGGAGAGCUAUGGUGGAGGAAUCAAGGCCUGGGCUAAUUGCCAGCAAAGGAAAGCAGAUCGUGCUCUUCAUGAGAGCAGAGAAACUGGGCCUGGUGUGUGAGCUGCCUUUGAGAGCUGGCUGGAGAUGGGACUCCACGAUGCCCAGCUACAUGGCACAGUUCCCUGGACAUUGCCAAGCCAUGGUGGCCUUGGGGAUCGACAGCAGGACGCUUCCUCUCUGCAAUCUUUGCCUUCUGUCAUGGGAUGAGGUGUGGUGCACAAACGUGAAACAUCAGUCACUAGCCACCGGUGGGGCCAAAGGAAGGCUACUGCUCACGCUUGUUGCUACUUUCUUCUUCUUUAUAAUUCUGCUCUGUCAAUCGUGUGAUUAUAGAAGAAUCUCAGUUUUCAGCUAAGAAAUGUAUGCUUUUCUUGCUGGCUCUUGCAGAGACAAACCUGGAAAUUCUAGAGUGUUGAGUCCAAAGACUGAAGAGUCAGAAGAUGAACAAGCACAGAAUCCAACGUUACUGGUUUUCCAAAUUUUUUAAUUGUAUUGUUUAGGUGACUGACAGUAUUUUGGAACCCCUCUCUCGAAGGUUUGGGAUUAGCUGUCCCAAAAAGAAGAGCAUGUUGGCUGCCUAGUGCUACUUGGGAAUGUCAAAAUCCCAGCCCAUGGCUCUGCAGAACUCGCUUAGUCUCUCUUGCUCAGAAGCCCAGGACCACCUUCUGAGGCUCGGAGAGAAAAGCUGGUCAGGUUUUCUCUGUGAGCUCUGCUUCACGUGGCAGUCCAGCUGGACAGCCCUGCCAGCAGCAGGAGCUGUGGCCCCACCAUGGCUACCUGGCCUCCCCUGUGAAGCAGAAGUAGCACUGGCAUUUCUUAGCAGGUGAGGAUCCACCCAGCACACUGCUGCAGUACCUGGCAUCUUUGUGUCUGCCCUGACCAUUCCACUCGGCACCAACAGCAUGUGCACAACCUGUGCUUCUUUGUUUUUGGCUGUGGCUUCUCUGUGGACAGACUUGCUAUCUCUGGGCCUACAGAGAUGAUUCACAUUUCUCCAUUUUUAGACAUAAUAAUAAUAAUAAUAACCAGUGUCUUCUGACUCCCACUUGUGCUGCCCCUCAGUGUGUGCACCUCGGCCCUGGGAGCCGAGGAGCUGUACCCACUCAUUGCUGCUGAAGUUGGCUGACCUCAGUGCAGGGAUGGGAUGCGGGGUGGAGGUGUGCAGCUCUUCCCGAGUCCACAUUGCUCAGUCGGUCACCUCUUAUCUCACUGAUGGAUCGAAACCCCACGAAUUCACGCUGUGGUGGAUGUGACUGUGUCCGUUGCAAACGCAGCUGUUCCAAAACGCAAACCAGAAUUUUUAAGUGCUGCUGAAGUGGUGAAAACCCUUUGAGGAGCAGGUGUGGGGCCGGUGGAUGGCAAAACCUUCCUCAGUGAAACUGCUCAAAAGAGCAAGUCUGUUAACGAACAGAGGGUCUGUGUCCGGGUCCAACAGCACUGGCAGAUGGCAAGAGCCAGCAGCAAGAGUGAGCAGUGCACCCUAGGAAAAGCAUCCAGAAUAAACCAGGAAGGUGAAGGAACGCGUCAGUCUAAGCCUUGCUUCCUGAAGCGGCACAAAGCCCGUCCCAGGAAGGAGUGCUGCUGCAGCGACAGAGCGGUGCAGUGGGAUGUCUGCCCCAGAGCUGUGCUGCGUGCGGCCCCCGAAGUGCACGUGGGCAGGGCUGGUUUUUCCAUCUCUCUUUACUACCAGAAAAAGCAAAGCACCCCUCUGAGCGUGCUCGCCGGACUAGGAGGAGCGUGCACGCAUGUGUGUUUGCGGGUGCACAACGCCGAGCACGUGAACAGCGGCCGCAGGGUGUCAUGGAGCAUGCAGCCCACGCAGGGCCGGGCCGGGCCGGGCGUGCUGACGGCAGCGUGGCUGUGGCGGGCAGGGCUCCUCCGUGCGCUGAUGAAACGCAGCUGGGCUCCGCAACCAGCUCACUUGGUAGAGAAGAGUCUAGAAGGGCUCGUGCCAGCUAUAAACAGAGCGAUCAGCAUACACAGGAUGUGGUGAGCAGCUACAGGCGUCCCGUUAUUAACUUCACUUUUAUUUCAAGGGGAUUCACUUCUCUGUUCUGUUUCCCAUUUGGGAAGUGAAACCUAAGACCACGGCACCACUUAGCAGAAAGAAUUUGGUCGCUGCUCAUUUGUUUUUCUAGUUGAUUCUUCUUUUUCUCCUGCAAAGGUUACUCCGCUGUUCCUUUGACAGAAUUCAUGGAAAUUACUGGCAGCGCGCUGACUCUUCGCUCUCUGUUUCUCUCCUGAGGAAUUAUCUCAUCUGCGCUCAUUGAAGACUGUUGACUCUGAGGGGAGUGUUUACUUGAGGACACCUCGCCUGGCCAGGAAGGAGCAAUGCGGAGAGCGAGCGCUGGUUCCUCCCAGUCACAGCCCAACCAGCCUGUGCUGCGCCGAGGUGCUUUGUAAACAUUUGUUCAUCCUUGCACACACCUCCCACCCCCCGUAAGGUGAGGAAAUGUUAUUGCCACCUUUCCACAGAUGGAAGAAGUGAGCACAGAGAGGUGCGGUGACUCAUCGGCCGCAGCUGAGGCAGAGCUGGAGCUGCGGAGCCAAUCUCCCAGCCCUGACAUUGCCGGCAGUCACGUUCUCACCCGGCGCUGGGACGUGGGCAGCGCCAGCCCCAUCCACCUGCCGCCCACCUGUCCUGGGAGGCGGCAGCGUGCAUCUCAGCGUGUACAGAAAGAGAUCAGAUCGCCGUGGCUUGCUCCAUGUGCUGGUGUCAUCGCAGCAUGGUGUGCUGUUACGUCAUGAUGUUAUUACGCUUGAAACUAGUGCAUGGCUGCUCACAGUAACAGGGCAGGGGGCUGAACAUGACCUUGUGCUGCUCAAGCACAUCACACGGCACACGCACACUGCACCGGGGUGUCAGUCAGCCCCACCGCACUGCAAGGACCUGCCUCGAUCUGCAUGCUGGGCAUGGCCGGCCCUGUCCCUGUCUCUGUCUCUAUCUCUGUCUCUGUGCCCAUCUCCAUCCCUGUCUCCGUGCCCCCUUCUCGGCCAGGCCUGCAUUAGUGCAGCCCCACACACUCGGUGCAGGUAACUCAGAGGAAAUGUGGCUCUGUGACACAGUGGAAGGAAAGUAUUUGCCUCUCCGGUGGAAAUGGCUCUCACAGCACACGGUCAUAAGGACUGCAGCCCAUGUUCUCAGGGGGUGCUGCCUCUUGGGAGUGAUGGGUGCUUGUUGGAAGCCAAGCUGCCCUCGGUGCGAGCACUCAGCAGAGAGGCACUCGGUGCCUAAUGGCAGCUGUACGUUCAGGGCUGUAUGUUGCCACUACUUGGUGGCACCUAUUGCUGUUUACGGUCUUCAUCAAUAUCGCUCCCCUCUCCCACGCAGAAUCAAGAACAACAACAACUAACACCCCCACUCCUUAUCACCUCUGCUCGCUUUCCACGCUGUCUGCACGAGCAUGGUUUCACUCAUCCCCAGCUCAGCGCGGGCGAGUCACAUCAGUCAGUUCCACUUUGUGACGCAGCUCUGUCUGUCUGUCUGCUCUCAGGUCUGGGCAGGAUGCGCUGUGAUCAGAUUCACCGUACCCGAGGGAAGGGUAGAGUUUGCUCUACACAUCUGUUCAUUUUUAAGUAAAACGCUCGGUACUUUCUUCUUUUAAAUGAAACCUUUGAGACAGGUCAUCCUCAUUAAGCUUGCACCUAGCUGCCUCUUGCCUAGCCAGCUGUAAAACCAGUGUUCAUUGCCACAGUGAAGCCCAAAGAAGGAACCUCCUUGACAUCUGUGGGCUUUGGGACAGUUCGGGAGCCUGGUCCUGCAUGUGUUGAGGGGCAUGGCCAAACACCCAUGAAUUUCAAGGCAUGAGAAACCAGGGUCUCAGUGGUGCUUAGGAGCAGGGAGGACACGCAGCCGAGCACCUGGACCGUUACAGGCCUCCCUGCAUCUCGUCCUACCUUGGUGUGUGGUUCUGAAGAGCACUGGGACCUUGUAGGUGUAGGGGAGUAGAGAGGAAGAUGUCUCUUACUCUGGCCCUCCUUCAGGCAGCAGCACCACCUAAGGCUGCAGAGCCCAGGCUCCCUGCCUUCGCUGAGAGUCAGGCUGGAACUGCAGGGUGUGGGGAAGGCAGGCCAGGCCAUGAAGGGGAUGGAGAACGUGGGCCAACGUGUUGGGGAGGCUGGAGUCAGCACCUUUUGUCCAGAGAAACAGAGGGCCCUCUGUAGUGGAACUGGCAGAGAGUUAAUCUCAUAGUUAAACUGUUACUGGGCUUCACCUGCUCUUAUCCCUCCAUGGUGCAAGGGGCAAGGGGCUCAGUAGGUCAACUGGCACUGGGACCUGACAGCAAUUAAAGGGACCCCGCCGAGGCCCAGGAUUUGACCCGCGCUUUUUUGGUUAGGUCCCUUUCCACACCAUAUCAGUCCUCACAGAUGUCAUUUGUGCUUCAGUGUGGUUUGUGCUAAACAAAGUAAAGCCUUGCAAAGCGGAACACGCGGCCCAAAGCCAGGGAUGUACCAAAUAGAACUCACAAGCCACCGUACAGUAACAUGCACAGGGCACUCACGAGAGCAGUCCCAAUGUAACUGACGGGUACGUGGCUGUUGAGUCCGUGCAAAACAUGGUACCUGAAUGUCAGGAGUCCCGGAAGGGGAAGACAGCAGUGCCAGCAGUGAGGUUUUGAGAGGCACACGAAACAACUAGUUGAGAAGGAGUUACAAAUCCAGGGCAAACGCCCAGGCAAUACCCCACCUUCUUCUCAUAAGAGGCAUAUAGCCAACACCCCAUCAUACUGGUAAUCAGGGCCCUGGAUAAUGUGGGGUUUGUUUGCUGCUAAUAUAGCCAUUGUAUCUACCCUAGCUGCAGAGCCCUGCUCCUGAACUGAGGCACCAGGACUGCAAGUUACAGCUCUGCUGGCUGAGAGCUUUCUGAAUGGGAACACAGAGCAACCCUCCCUGUCUCUACACAUUCUAGCUCAGCAACGUGUGCUACACCCAUUCAUCUGAACGCAGAAAUAGCUCUGAAACUCAUGAUAAGGCCUUAAAUGCCAUCACACAGCUCAUUUAUUUCCCCACUGUCCCGAAGUGCUUCCCAGGUGCUGAAAUCCUGGCUGCCAAAACCUCCAUAGCCUCUGCCGACAACCUCAGUGACAUAGCUCUGCGUUGCAGCACCUUCCCUGCUGCUGCGGGCAGGGUGCUGCCAGAGGCUGUGCGUUCAGCCACAAGACGCCAGGAGCACUGAGGGUGGUCGCUGUGCCUGGCACGCAGCUGGGGAACCGAGGCCCCUAAGGGACGUGCCAUGUCCCCACACAGAGGGGAAGCGUGUGCCAGAGCAGCAGCAGCAGCCGGUGCCUCUCUUUUUCCAUGCGUCUGUCCCCUCCUCAAAGCAAUUUAGCAAUUUUCUUCGCCUUGAUGCCAGUGGCAUUACAUAAGUGUAACCUGGUUGUGAGAUCACGAUACGACACGUCGAUUAGCCAGGGAGGCACAAGGUCAUAACCAGCCUGAGGAAGGAGAGGCAGGCUGUGCAUACACACAAACACACCUAGGUGGAUGUAUAUAAACACACGUGGGCCCCUGGUGUUCCCAUCGCAGAUGUGCUGUGCGUGGCACAUGUCAGCCGGGGCAGGCUAUCGACCGCUGCCUGUGUUUCUGCAUCAGAACCUUUCGGUUUUCCCUUUCAGGCUUGGAGUUACUUCUCUUUUACAUAAAUAGCACCACUCGAGGCUGCCUUCCCGAUAGGUGGAAUAGUUUCCCCUUGAGAAGGAACUGGUGGAAAUCCCCUCUCUUGAGACAUUUUAACUCUGCCAAAAAAUGUACAAUGGGAGUGACUGCUUUAACUAGCAAGCUGACUUUGGAUGAGCUAAUGGAUUUUUCCAUCACUAGUGUCUAGUUCCAGGGAUUUCCAUGAAUUGCUGUCAGGACAGAAGAAGGCAACAGAUUGCAACUGCGGGAUCUGCUGUUUCAGCUCCACUGACACGUCAUUCCCUCAGGACACCCAGUGACCUGGUUAAUCUAGUUCCUUGCUUCUGACUUCUCCUCGUAAAUGAUUUAUCAACUGGCGUGGAUCCCUGUUUGCUUAAGGAGGCGUGUGACGACCUCUCGCAGGCUGGCUGCACAGAGCCACGGCUGUGUUUGGCAGCCGGCUGCCGGCCGCAGCUCGUGACCCUUGGCUGGGGGAGCAGGGGAUGGGCAGCAGAGCCCGGUGGGUGAUGUUUAUGAGGCUGGCCGGAGGGCGCUGGUGACCAAGCUGCAGGCUCGGCAGUGGGAGCACUCGCCUAGGACCUGCCUCAGCCCACUCUGACCCCCAGGGUAUGAAGGCGCGGUGGGCAGAGGGUUGGCGUGGGCUGUGACUGCCCGCCACGGGAGCGCCAGCUGCACCAGAGCCAUCCUUGAGGUCCCUGCUCUCCACGGAGGAAAUAACGCCAACUUUGGUCCGUUGCCUUGUCCACAGCGAGGCAGCAUCCGUGGGGUGACAUCAGUGUCACGUCUGAAGCAGAUGCAGCUCUGGAAGUCUUCACGUGCACACGUAGUAGCAGGAAGGCCAGAUUGCUUCUCUGACAGCUCCGUGACCUGACAGCUGCCCACAGUCUGAGCAGUGCUGCUCCUGACCAGGAGAGCCAACCUGCUGCGAGCUGCUGCAGCUCAGUGCACGAGUGCUGGGGGAACAUCCAGCUCGCAGGACGGCUAUUCACUAAGGGCCCCAACAGGACAUCCUUCCUGUAUUAGUAUUGCCUCCCUGAACUAUCAAUUAAAAAGAACGCCACAAUUCUGUACCCUGUGGAUGCCGCCUGCCUUCUGUGCGCGCACAAAUCCCGCUACGAGAGGUACUGUAAGUACUGAGGUGUUAAAGACGCCAGAGGGUGCCCAGUGGGAUUUCAGAAGAGCAGCGGUCCCGACUGCUUUGGAUGUCAGCGCAGGUCGGACGUGUGAGCCCCAGGCCCCGCCUGUAGGGCCCCACCACCUUUGGAAUCUGGUUCCCUCAGCUCCCUCUGUGAAUACGGCAGUUAGCUCCCAGGGUAUUGCGAGGAUGGAAAAAGUAAAGACUAUGAGUUCUCAGGAAAUAUUGAAACGGGGUCAACUGAGUAACAUUUAAGUCAAUUAGAAAGACGGUCUGUUAACAGUCUGUUAAUAGCUGGCUGAGAUGGAUUCCCAUGAUUCCCGGUGCCAGCAUCUCCGCUCACACAAGGAAAUAUUUAUGACUCUUCUCCCUCAAAAGCCUGGUUAACCUCAUUUAAAGCAGAGAGCACGAAGAUAGAUCUAUCAACAUUAGGGACAUCAACUCUCCCUUUUUGUCCCCACGAUUACAAGAGAAAAGGAGAAUUCAAACCUUAAAGUGGGAAGUGAAUUACGCAGAGUGGCCGCAGAUGGGAGCCAUUAAAUGCCCGGCUGCGUUUUUUUAAUUGAAACAAUACAGCAAUUUACUAUACAAAUAGCUCUGGCAGAGCGCUGCUCUGGUGCUGUGGAAGCUGCCCGCCCCGCGUCCCACGGGUCACACACGGCAGCACGGCGCGGACCUCCCGCUCCCAGCAGAGCCGCCGGCACCCGGGGCGAGGCGCACCCCUGGGCACAGCACCGCGGCUCCGCCUCGCUUUCCAGACGACUCCAGGAACGUCAGGACGAGCUCCCAGCGGCAGCUCCCGGCCCAUUACCAAAUACAGAGUCCAGAGGGAAGCGAGUCCUCGCUCCUCCUUUUGGGCGAGGCGAAGGGGAAAAAACAAAGCCGGAUGGGUCCCACUGUCAUCUUGACUGCCCGCGGGUUUUGGUCUGAGCUCCCGAAGCUUUAGGCCUGCCUGUAAGUCCAGCUUUGAAAGGGAAGGCGUUUAUUUUCAGUUUUCUGACGAGUGAGUAAUGGGGCUGCCAUCUAGAGGCCACUGCAACUUUCCAGCACAUUCCUUCGGACAGGAGUGGCAUUGUCAAUAACCUCCUCCUCCCACUACCUCCUCAUGAAGGACUUCUCGCUUCUAAAUGAAACUGUUACAGUACAAAGCACUUCUCCAUCCACAUCCCUGCCCACGGCGGCGGGCUGGAACUGGGUGAUCUUUAGCGUCCCCUCCAACCUGAGCCAUUCUAUGAUUGUGUCAUCUCUCAUUCAACGAUUGCAAAUUCUGCCUUAAUCAAUCCGGCUUAAGAAGGAGCUCUACUGAUAGGUAAUCUGUGUAUCCGCUGCAGGAAUGGGAUGCUGGGAGUGCUGGCUCUAUGAGUCUCAACUCCAUCCUUCCAUCCUGUCCCUGAGCUGAACAGCACCAGCCAAACUGGGCCAAACUCAGCGGGAUCCACUUUAGACCCUGCCUUGCAUAGAAGUCGGCUGCUGCAAAUGUGAACAGGAGGCAGAUACAGGGCAGCCAUGGCCACCCACCGCUCACCACGUGAGCUGCCUGCUCACUUGUGCUAAACCCUGUGCCCAAAUGGAGCGGCCCGGCAGGCUGCAGGGCAGCAGGGAGUGAGGGCCGCACUGUGCUGCGCAGGCCUGGCAGCAGAGGAACCCCACUCCAGUGCUUUGCAGAGCACUUCAAAUUUGCUUGCAGACUGCCUGCCUCGCACCCCGCACCCACCAAUUGCAAAAUCCCCUGUUGAUAUGACUAAGAGUCACGCUCUGCAGCCUCAGCUUUGGGUUCUACCUCUCUCGGUCCUGAAAUGGGGACAGGGAAGUGCCAGAUGCUUUCUGUUCUCCUUGCUCAGGACUCUGCGACCAUGGGUGUUUUUGAGUCAGCGGUGCUCAAGGGACCUUUCAGUCAGCAUAACUGCGUGAGUGGCCAAAUAAAAACAGGCCCAAACGCCAAUGGGGCUCUGCUUACAUCAAGGAAAGGGGAAGCAGCUCUUCUACAGCGAGCGCUAGCUCGCAAGAGGCGGCUAAAAAUAGGGCUGCCCUCUACAACACUUCCGUCCUGCCUUUGACACGCUCGCGGCUUUCAUGUCCCAUCGGCCCCGCCAUUUCCUCGCCCCACACUCGGCAUCGCCCCACAGCCCUUCCUGUCCGCGCGGGGCUUUGAAGCAUGGGCAGCUCCCUCACGCCAGAUGGCAGAGGGCACUUCCUCUGCUUUCUUCACUCUUUUUGAGUGCUUUGGUCACAAGUGAGAAGUGGGGCGGGUCCCGGUGAAGGUCUCGCCCCAAGAAGACGCUGGAAGUCCCAGAGGUGACCAAGACAAGGAAGGCGUUCCACAGUGGAGUGUUUUCAAGGGUGUUUUCCUCGGUAAAUGAAAUGAUGGGAAGUGUUUCUGUCGAUACCUCCAGGACAACAUUCCCAAGUAUUGGCUUUCAGUUUUGGCAUUUGUUCCUGGAGGAUCGGGGGCUGGAAAUGGCACAGACCUGCUUCUCGGAAUUAGCAGGAAAACAAAGGAGCAAUGUGCAGGAGGGGAUGUGAAGGGGCCGAUGCCUGUCAGCAGGCAGUGACACCGCACGGCUGGCAGAUGAUGGCCCAUGGAAGAUGGCAGCACAGCAGCAGCAGCGUGCCAUCAGAGCAGCAGAGCCCUGGUUCUGCCUGCAUGUCUGUGAGAAGAGGCACGGGACAGAGCUCAGUGUGGGCGGGCUGUUAGGCUGAGGAAAAGGCGAUGACUUCUCUUAACCUCAGUGAAGCAGACUGUUGAGAAGGCCUGUGCAUUUGCCCAAGGUUUUCCAGAUGCUGAGUAAAUAAAAUCCCUGAGAAGCUG
Molecule: long non-coding RNA, 14737 nt
Organism: Gallus gallus (chicken)
Lineage: Eukaryota; Metazoa; Chordata; Aves; Galliformes; Phasianidae
Exons: 2
Source: RefSeq, a predicted model, not a curated record